ACUACUACUACUACUACCAUUUAUAUUAUUGUUAUUAUUAUUACUAUUCCCAUUAUCAUGACGAAGACCUUGUGAUGAUGAUGAAGACGAAGAUCUUGUUUUCUUCUUUCUUGUUGUUGUUGUUGAUGAUUUUGAUCGAUUUUUUUCACUUGAAGGAGUUGGAAGUGGCAUGAGGAAGUAAAUUUUGCCACGUUUAAGUUCAGCAUCAGGAGGAACUACGACAAUUUUCGGACAAACUCCUCCUCCUUCUGAGGAGUAAUAAGAUGAUGAUGGCUUUUUAAGAACAUGUUUAGGGUAAAUCUUCAUGAUCUCAGCUGCUUUAACACUUCCACUAAUCUCUUCAACUUUG
This 349-nucleotide unclassified non-coding RNA is filed under the name Hevea brasiliensis (rubber tree). The record is from RNAcentral. Lineage: Eukaryota; Viridiplantae; Streptophyta; Magnoliopsida; Malpighiales; Euphorbiaceae.